This 482-nucleotide ribosomal RNA is filed under the name uncultured bacterium. RNAcentral's name for it is "partial 16S ribosomal RNA". It matches the Rfam family "Bacterial small subunit ribosomal RNA", at positions 30 to 507 of the family's 1533-position model. The record is from RNAcentral.
AUUGAACGCUGGCGGCAUGCCUUACACAUGCAAGUCGAACGGUAACGGGCCUUCGGGUGCCGACGAGUGGCGAACGGGUGAGUAAUACAUCGGAACGUGCCCGAUCGUGGGGGAUAACGAGGCGAAAGCUUUGCUAAUACCGCAUACGAUCUACGGAUGAAAGCAGGGGACCGCAAGGCCUUGCGCGGACGGAGCGGCCGAUGGCAGAUUAGGUAGUUGGGGGGAUAAAAGCUUACCAAGCCGACGAUCUGUAGCUGGUCUGAGAGGAUGAUCAGCCACACUGGGACUGAGACACGGCCCAGACUCCUACGGGAGGCAGCAGUGGGGAAUUUUGGACAAUGGGCGCAAGCCUGAUCCAGCCAUGCCGCGUGCAGGAUGAAGGCCUUCAGGUUGUAAACUGCUUUUGUACGGAACGAAAAGCCUUCUUUUAAUACAGGAGGGUCAUGACGGUACCGUAAGAAUAAGCACCGGCUAACUACGUG